UUAUACUACAUCCGUCUCAUUUUAAGUGUAACCAUGGGUCGUCUGUCUUAUUUAAAAUUAUUUUAUAAUUAGUAUUUUUGUUGCUAUGAGUUGAUACAAUAUGAAUAGUACUUUACUCAUAAUUUAUGUUUUUAAAUUUUUUCAAAAAAUUUUCAAAUAAGAUGGACGAUCAAAGUUAGACGUGAAAAACCAUGGUUGUACUUGAA
This is a non-coding RNA of Oryza barthii, 206 nucleotides long. NCBI's taxonomy places the organism in Eukaryota, Viridiplantae, Streptophyta, Magnoliopsida, Poales, Poaceae. The record is from Rfam.